This 450-nucleotide ribosomal RNA is filed under the name uncultured bacterium. RNAcentral's name for it is "partial 16S ribosomal RNA". It matches the Rfam family "Bacterial small subunit ribosomal RNA", at positions 338 to 795 of the family's 1533-position model. The record is from RNAcentral.
CCUACGGGUGGCUGCAGUGGGGAAUAUUGGACAAUGGGGGCAACCCUGAUCCAGCCAUACCGCGUGUGUGAAGAAGGCCUUAGGGUUGUAAAGCACUUUCAGUGGGGAGGAAAAGUUGCCGGCGAAUACCCGGCGACCGUGACGCUACCUGCAGAAGAAGCACCGGCAAACUCCGUGCCAGCAGCCGCGGUAAUACGGAGGGUGCGUGCGUUAAGUAGAAUGCGUGGGCGUGGAGCGGUAGUCGGCGGGUGAAAGCCCUGGGCUCAACCUGGGAACUGCAUCCAGAACUGCCAGGCUAGAGUAUGGUAGAGGACAGUGGAAUUUCCGGUGUAGCGGUGAAAUGCGUAGAGAUCGGAAGGAACACCAGUGGCGAAGGCGACUGUCUGGACCAAUACUGACGCUGAGGUGCGAAAGCGUGGGGAGCAAACAGGAUUAGAUACCCCUGUAGUC